This 433-nucleotide ribosomal RNA is filed under the name uncultured bacterium. RNAcentral describes it as "partial 16S ribosomal RNA". It matches the Rfam family "Bacterial small subunit ribosomal RNA", at positions 29 to 507 of the family's 1533-position model. The record is from RNAcentral.
AGCGAACGCUGGCGGCAGGCCUAACACAUGCAAGUCGAACGAACUCUUCGGAGUUAGUGGCGGACGGGUGAGUAACACGUGGGAACGUGCCUUUUGGUUCGGAAUAACUCAGGGAAACUUGUGCUAAUACCGAAUGUGCCCUUCGGGGGUAAGAUUUAUCGCCGUUAGAGCGGCCCGCGUCUGGUUAGCUUGUUGGGGAGGUAACGGCUCACCAAGGCGACGAUCAGUAGCUGGUCUGAGAGGAUGACCAGCCACACUGGGACUGAGACACGGCCCAGACUCCUACGGGAGGCAGCAGUGGGGAAUCUUGCGAAAUGGGCGAAAGCCUGACGCAGCCAUGCCGCGUGAAUGAUGAAGGUCUUAGGAUUGUAAAAUUCUUUCACCGGGGACGAUAAUGACGGUACCCGGAGAAGAAGCCCCGGCUAACUUCGUG